AAAGAUUAUAUCGCCUUUGGAUGAACCCGCGUUAGAUUAGCUUGUUGGUGAGGUAAGAGCUCACCAAGGCUUCGAUCUAUAGCUGGUCUGAGAGGAUGAUCAGCCACACUGGGACUGAGACACGGCCCAGACUCCUACGGGAGGCAGCAGUGGGGAAUAUUGGACAAUGGGGGCAACCCUGAUCCAGCCAUGCCGCGUGCGUGAAGAAGGCCCUAGGGUUGUAAAGCGCUUUCAACGGUGAAGAUGAUGACGGUAACCGUAGAAGAAGCGCCGGCUAACUUCGUGCCAGCAGCCGCGGUAAUACGAAGGGUGCAAGCGUUGUUCGGAAUUACUGGGCGUAAAGGGCGUGUAGGCGGCUUGUUAAGUUAGAUGUG
This 374-nucleotide ribosomal RNA is filed under the name uncultured Alphaproteobacteria bacterium. RNAcentral's name for it is "bacterial SSU rRNA". It matches the Rfam family "Bacterial small subunit ribosomal RNA", at positions 202 to 596 of the family's 1533-position model. Lineage: Bacteria; Pseudomonadati; Pseudomonadota; Alphaproteobacteria. The record is from RNAcentral.